RNAcentral lists this ribosomal RNA (403 nucleotides) under uncultured bacterium. Its description in RNAcentral is "partial 16S ribosomal RNA". It matches the Rfam family "Bacterial small subunit ribosomal RNA", at positions 30 to 526 of the family's 1533-position model. The record is from RNAcentral.
AUUGAACGCUGGCGGCAGGCAUAACCCAUGCAAGUCGAGCGAGCGGCGGACGGGUGAGUACUGUAUGGGGACUGCCCGAUAGAGGGGGAUAACUACUGGAAACGGUAGCUAAUACCGCAUACUAUCGGAUAACCCAUAUGGGAUGAGCUAGUAGGUGAGGUAAUGGCUCACCUAGGCGACGAUCACUAGCUGGCCUGAGAGGAUGAUCAGCCACACUGGGACUGAGACACGGCCCAGACUCCUACGGAGGCAGCAGUGGGGAAGAUGGCACAAGUGGCGCAAGCCUGAUGCAGCCAUGCCGCGUGGAUGAAGAAGGCCCUAGGGUUGUAAAGUACUUUCAGUCGGGAGGCGUUACCGACAGAAGAAGCACCGGCUAACUCCGUGCCAGCCGCCGCGGUAAUUC